AAAUGAAGGUGGCAGAAAUGCGGAUGUUGCGCUGGAUGUGUGGACUGACUAGAGGGGAUAGAGUUCGGAAUGAGACUAUCCGGGAGAAGGUUGGUCUGACUUCAGUGGAGUGCAAGAUGCGGGAAGCACGAUUGAGAUGGUUCGGACAUGUGAAGAGGAGGGGCAUGGAUGCCCCGGUCCGUAGGUGCGAGAGGCUAGCGUUGGAUGGUUUUAGGCGGGGUAGGGGUAGGCCGAAGAAGUACUGGGGNN
Molecule: long non-coding RNA, 249 nt
Filed under: Capsicum annuum
Lineage: Eukaryota; Viridiplantae; Streptophyta; Magnoliopsida; Solanales; Solanaceae
Description: long non-coding RNA (CANN_LNC014625)
Source: RNAcentral